RNAcentral lists this ribosomal RNA (566 nucleotides) under uncultured Glomeromycotina. RNAcentral describes it as "SSU rRNA". It matches the Rfam family "Eukaryotic small subunit ribosomal RNA", at positions 548 to 1114 of the family's 1831-position model. Lineage: Eukaryota; Fungi; Glomeromycota. The record is from RNAcentral.
UUGGAGGGCAAGUCUGGUGCCAGCAGCCGCGGUAAUUCCAGCUCCAAUAGCGUAUAUUAAAGUUGUUGCAGUUAAAAAGCUCGUAGUUGAAUUUCGGGAUCAAUGUUUCGGUCAUGCCGUUGGUAUGUACUGAUAUUAUUGAUUUCUCACCUUCUAAAGAACCGUAAUGCCAUUAAUUUGGUGUCACGGGGAAUUAGGACUGUUACCUUGAAAAGAUUAGAGUGUUUAAAGCAGGCUCACGCUUGAAUACAUUAGCAUGGAAUAAUGAAAUAGGACAUCCGAUUCUAUUUUGUUGGUUUCUAGGAUCGAUGUAAUGAUUAAUAGGGAUAGUUGGGGGCAUUAGUAUUCAAUUGUCAGAGGUGAAAUUCUUGGAUUUAUUGAGGACUAACUACUGCGAAAGCAUUUGCCAAGGAUGUUUUCAUUAAUCAAGAACGAAAGUUAGGGGAUCGAAGACGAUCAGAUACCGUCGUAGUCUUAACCAUAAACUAUGCCGACUAGGGAUCGGAUGAUGUUAAUUUUUUAAUGACCCAUUCGGCGCCUUACGGGAAACCAAAGUGUUUGGGUUC